ACAAACUACCUGCCAUGGGGACCAGGAUUCUCAGCUGCGUAGACCUUCGUCUCCUUGGAAGAGGCAAGUCAGAUGUCCAGUUCGUCCAGACUCUCCAGUCUAGUGACGAGGAGGGAUGGUGAGCGUGGGUGGGAAGAUGACAUCACAGUCGGCCUGUAGCUGGGAGAAGACCAUUCUGUCCUCAAGACUGUGAUGGCAUUGUGGCUGUUCCGUGGGGUGGCCCUCUGUUUCCUGGUCCUGGGCCUUGUGGACACAGAAGUAACCCAGAUCCCAAGAUUCCUUCUCAAAAGGAUGGGGGAGAAAGUGGUGCUGGAAUGUUUACAGGAUAAUGACCAUGAAAGAAUGUUCUGGUAUCGACAAGACCCCGGCCUGGGGCUACAGCUGAUCUAUUUUUCAUAUGAUGCUGACAACAAUGAAAAAGGUGAUAUCCCUGAGGGGUAUAGUGUCUCUCGGAAGAAGAGGGAGAAAUUCUCCCUGAUCCUGGAGUCUGCCAGCGUCUCUCAGACGUCGCUGUACCUCUGUGCCAGCAGUGCAUCCACAGUACUGCACAGCCACAUCCUCCCUGCACAAAAAAGAAAGUGA
Sciurus carolinensis (gray squirrel) is the source of this 582-nucleotide non-coding RNA. The record is from the annotation of a RefSeq genome assembly. Lineage: Eukaryota; Metazoa; Chordata; Mammalia; Rodentia; Sciuridae.